GCCUUUGUGGUGUAGUGGUCAGCAUGCUCGACGCGUAACCGAGAGGUCCGUGGUUCGAGUCACGGCGGAGGCG
This 73-nucleotide transfer RNA is filed under the name Stegodyphus mimosarum. It matches the Rfam family "tRNA". Rfam says of the family: Transfer RNA (tRNA) molecules are approximately 80 nucleotides in length. Their secondary structure includes four short double-helical elements and three loops (D, anti-codon, and T loops). Further hydrogen bonds mediate the characteristic L-shaped molecular structure. tRNAs have two regions of fundamental functional importance: the anti-codon, which is responsible for specific mRNA codon recognition, and the 3' end, to which the tRNAs corresponding amino acid is attached (by aminoacyl-tRNA synthetases). tRNAs cope with the degeneracy of the genetic code in two manners: having more than one tRNA (with a specific anti-codon) for a particular amino acid; and 'wobble' base-pairing, i.e. permitting non-standard base-pairing at the 3rd anti-codon position. The record is from Rfam by way of RNAcentral. Lineage: Eukaryota; Metazoa; Arthropoda; Arachnida; Araneae; Eresidae.